RNAcentral lists this ribosomal RNA (481 nucleotides) under uncultured bacterium. RNAcentral describes it as "partial 16S ribosomal RNA". It matches the Rfam family "Bacterial small subunit ribosomal RNA", at positions 28 to 507 of the family's 1533-position model. The record is from RNAcentral.
GACGAACGUUGGCGGCGUGCUUAAUACAUGCAAGUCCACUGAAGCAGUGGUAGCAAUAUCGCUGUGGAGGUGGCGCACGGGUGAGUAACACGUAGGUAAUCUGCCUUCAGGUCUGGCAUAACUCCGGGAAACCGGGGCUAAUAGCAGAUGAUGCAGCGGCUCGACAUCGAGACAGUUGUUAAAGCUAUGGCGCCUGAAGAUGAGCCUGCGUCUGAUUAGCUAGUUGGCGGGGUAACGGCCCACCAAGGCAACGAUCAGUAGCUGGUCUGAGAGGAUGAUCAGACACACAGGAACUGAGACACGGUCCAGACUCCUACGGGAGGCAGCAGUAAGGAAUAUUGCUCAAUGGGAGAAAUCCUGAAGCAGCAACGCCGCGUGAGGGACGAAGGGCUUUUGCUUGUAAACCUCUGUAGUGAGAGAAAAAAAUCCCAAUCUUUGGGACAUGAUGGUAUCUCAAAAGUAAGCCCCGGCUAACUACGUG